UUAUAAUUUCUUUACUUUUAGUGAUGUCACUAUUUAUUUCAUUUUUCCAUCAAAACUUUUAAGUUUUACAAUAAAUUUUCAGAGGAAACACAAAUAGAGUGUCCAGCACACACACACACACACACUCACACACAUUUGCUGUGGCUGCGCUUUUAUACUUAUAUAUGAGCUGCACAAUUCCAACUCGUCAUAAAAAAUACACGACGACCAGCGAGCAAAUAUUUGAAAUAAAAAGCGGAUUUAUUUCGAGUAAAAGAAAAAAGCAAGGAUUAACCUAAAUAAAUACAAAACAAUUGUGAAAAUUGUGCCUGGAUGAUAAAGUUCCUCCCCCCCGACCAAGGAAUGUCAUAUUGAAUAAGAAAUUCCGUGCCGUAGAGACUGGAGGCUCUAAGGAGUUCAGCUGACCGCAAUGAUCUAUUGCCGCCAAGUCUGAAGAAUAAAAAUGAAAAUGAAGCCAGCAGAUGGCAAAGCAAAACAAUAAAGGCAGGCUAAGAGUAAAGAGUAAAAAAGGAAAAAAAAACCAAUACAGAUGAGUAAAGCGACUUAGUGAUACCCGGUGCUCUCUACCAAUUGUUUUCUCUUUUAGGUUUUCUUAGGAUUUGUAAAAAAUAUUCUGAUUAACUUUCAGUUUCGUAAUUGGAUGACUAUGAAUGAAUAGAUACCAUUUCGAUGUCCGUGUGCAUUGACAUUUCGGAGGCAUCCUGACGAGGCUAGAUCUUUUAUUUUUCAGCUUGCUAACAUUGGCAUAGAAGCAAUAUACCCCCAUUGUCCUGCAGUACCAGAUAAAGGAGGAAAAAGCCAAGGGCGUAAAGAGAUAUUGUGGCUAAAUGCAGUGGAUGAUGAUGAAGCUGGGACUUUGGUGGAUCUCGAAUGGCGGCCACUUCAUUAUGCCGGAAAAUGCAUGAAGUGUUGAAAAAUGAUUCCCUCAGCAGCAAAAGCGGAGGCAACAAGCUGGGAAUCAUUGGAGGCGGCAAGUGCAUUUGACUUUUAUGCUUUUUGCGCAACUCCCUCGGGGGACGUAUCGCAGGCGUUGAAAGAAGUCCAACUUUUCACACAAAGCGCCUCGGGAUUUUCUGAAUAUCCCUACAUAGUUUCGAAAAACACAGCAAAGAAGACACGCCGUGGAAAGUGUUUUGGGUGCUAAGUGCGAUGGACAAAACAGCUGCUCCUUUCCAAACUCGCAGUCGUCUUCAUCAUCAGCGGCAUCAGCUUCGCAGCAGCGUCAUCCCCGUUGGCCAUGUCAUCAUCAGCGCUGUCGCAAAUUGUUUACUGGAUGCCCUCGGAAAACUUACUUCAAACAAAGUCAUGUGGACACUGGGGAAUGGGCGGUGGACAAGGGCCCAGUGCUGCUUUCCCGUCCAUAAUCUGCUUGUAAUAAUUUGGCUAAUUAUCCAAUAAAAGAAGAAAUUUAUUUAAUUGACAAAUGAACACCGACAAGCUGAACCCCAUGUUAUUUAAAUCGACAUCCAAGACAACAGACAGAGACAGACCUUCAAUGAAACGCAUUCUGGGACCAUUUUAUCUAGCGUUCAAAAGAACGAAAACAAGAAAUAUUUCUUGAAAAUUAUAUUCACUAAGUGCAGAGCGAAUGCGAAAAGAUGCAGAGGCACGUAAUCAGUCGAAAUAAACACUUGCGCUUCUAAAUAGAUAAAAAUAUCUACACUUCAAUAAACAUGAAAAUCAUCGGCCGAGCUGAAAACGAGCGCAAAAUGUGUUGAAAAUUGCACAGGCAAUGCGAUCAUAAAGCAUUCGCCAUUAAUGACACCAGCCCGACAGAUACAUCCCAUUGUCAAUAACUUUUACGCCGCGCAGAUUGCCAGCCCGUCGCCCCCUCCUCACCAUCUCCCCACGCCCCUGCCCCCUUUACAAAAUCAAAUUCAAAUUUCCCAAACGAGCAACCGCAGAAUGCAGCCGAAUGAUGACGAUGUCGAUGCAACUAGCCUAAGGGGAAAGCAAAGGGGAUUGACGCGCACACUGGUCUGCGAUUUUGCAGACAGGAAAAGAAGCGUUCUUUGGUCCUUUAAUAGUUCUGGGCCAACAUUUUUAGAGAAAAUCAAAACUAAUAAAGAAUUUAACCUACAUUUGGCACUAAAAGGAGGCA
Drosophila gunungcola (fruit fly) is the source of this 2101-nucleotide long non-coding RNA. RefSeq lists it as uncharacterized. Lineage: Eukaryota; Metazoa; Arthropoda; Insecta; Diptera; Drosophilidae. The record is from RefSeq and is a predicted model, not a curated record. The transcript has 3 exons.